GAUGAAGAACGUAGCGAAAUGCGAUAAGUAGUGUGAAUUGCAGAAUUCAGUGAAUCAUCGAAUCUUUGAAUGCACAUUGCGCCCCUUGGUAUUCCAUGGGGCAUGCCUGUUCGAGCGUCAUUUGUACCUUCAAGCUUUGCUUGGUGUUGGGUGUUUGUCCAUUCUCUUGCAGAGGGACUCGCCUUAAAGUAAUUGGCAGCCAGUGUUUGGUUUUGAAGCGCAGCACAAGUCGCGAUUCAACGCUAUACGCCAGCUUCCACAAGCCUUUUUCACUUUUGACCUCGGAUCAGGUAGGGAUACCCGCUGAACUUAAGCAUAUCAAUAAGCGGAGGA
Molecule: unclassified non-coding RNA, 333 nt
Filed under: soil metagenome
Description: partial contains 5.8S ribosomal RNA, internal transcribed spacer 2, and large subunit ribosomal RNA
Rfam family: 5.8S ribosomal RNA (bases 1-120)
Source: RNAcentral